RNAcentral lists this ribosomal RNA (808 nucleotides) under uncultured bacterium. Its description in RNAcentral is "bacterial SSU rRNA". It matches the Rfam family "Bacterial small subunit ribosomal RNA", at positions 61 to 829 of the family's 1533-position model. The record is from RNAcentral.
GUCGAGCGAGCUUGCCUAGAUGAAUUUGGUGCUUGCACCAGAUGAAACUAGAUACAAGCGAGCGGCGGACGGGUGAGUAACACGUGGGUAACCUGCCCAAGAGACUGGGAUAACACCUGGAAACAGAUGCUAAUACCGGAUAACAACACUAGACGCAUGUCUAGAGUUUAAAAGAUGGUUCUGCUAUCACUCUUGGAUGGACCUGCGGUGCAUUAGCUAGUUGGUAAGGUAACGGCUUACCAAGGCAAUGAUGCAUAGCCGAGUUGAGAGACUGAUCGGCCACAUUGGGACUGAGACACGGCCCAAACUCCUACGGGAGGCAGCAGUAGGGAAUCUUCCACAAUGGACGCAAGUCUGAUGGAGCAACGCCGCGUGAGUGAAGAAGGGUUUCGGCUCGUAAAGCUCUGUUGGUAGUGAAGAAAGAUAGAGGUAGUAACUGGCCUUUAUUUGACGGUAAUUACUUAGAAAGUCACGGCUAACUACGUGCCAGCAGCCGCGGUAAUACGUAGGUGGCAAGCGUUGUCCGGAUUUAUUGGGCGUAAAGCGAGUGCAGGCGGUUCAAUAAGUCUGAUGUGAAAGCCUUCGGCUCAACCGGAGAAUUGCAUCAGAAACUGUUGAACUUGAGUGCAGAAGAGGAGAGUGGAACUCCAUGUGUAGCGGUGGAAUGCGUAGAUAUAUGGAAGAACACCAGUGGCGAAGGCGGCUCUCUGGUCUGCAACUGACGCUGAGGCUCGAAAGCAUGGGUAGCGAACAGGAUUAGAUACCCUGGUAGUCCAUGCCGUANACGAUGAGUGCUAAGUGUUGGGAG